UAGGGAAUCUUCGGCAAUGGGGGGAACCCUGACCGAGCAACGCCGCGUGAGUGAAGAAGGUUUUCGGAUCGUAAAGCUCUGUUGUUAAGGAAGAACGAGUGUGAGAAUGGAAAGUUCAUACUGUGACGGUACUUAACCAGAAAGGGACGGCUAACUACGUGCCAGCAGCCGCGGUAAUACGUAGGUCCCGAGCGUUGUCCAGAUUUAUUGGGCGUAAAGCGAGCGCAGGCGGUUAGAUAAGUCUGAAGUUAAAGGCAGUGGCUCAACCAUUGUAGGCUUUGGAAACUGUUUAACUUGAGUGCAGAAGGGGAGAGUGGAAUUCCAUGUGUAGCGGUGAAAUGCGUAGAUAUAUGGAGGAACACCGGUGGCGAAAGCGGCUCUCUGGUCUGUAACUGACGCUGAGGCUCGAAAGCGUGGGGAGCGAACAGG
Molecule: ribosomal RNA, 429 nt
Filed under: Bacteroidota bacterium
Lineage: Bacteria; Pseudomonadati; Bacteroidota
Description: Bacteroidetes bacterium partial 16S ribosomal RNA
Rfam family: Bacterial small subunit ribosomal RNA
Source: RNAcentral